RNAcentral lists this unclassified non-coding RNA (276 nucleotides) under Peziza sp. RNAcentral's name for it is "partial contains 5.8S ribosomal RNA, internal transcribed spacer 2, and large subunit ribosomal RNA". RNAcentral also lists the same sequence under 1 other name. The record is from RNAcentral. Lineage: Eukaryota; Fungi; Ascomycota; Pezizomycetes; Pezizales; Pezizaceae.
AACGCGAAUGGCACUGUUACGUAAGUAGCAGUAUGUCUGUUUGAGAAUCGCAAACACGAUCAACUCUAGUUAAGAGUUGGAACUGGCCUCAUGUGCUGCUUUGCAUAUUUGGUUUGAAUAUAUUGAGUUGAUGAGCCUCCCAAUGUUGCUCAAUGUGUGCUAGCGAGACAGUCGUCCCGAUCUCACAUUAAAGCUUUAUUGCAGGGCUCUAUAAACAACUUUUGUUUCAUUAUCAAUUACGAUCUCAAAUCAGACAAGAUUACCCGCUGAACUUAA